CAGUCGCCGCGGGAAUACAGAGGAUGCAAGCGUUAUCCGGAAUGAUUGGGCGUAAAGCGUCUGUAGGUGGCUUUUCAAGUCCGCCGUCAAAUCCCAGGGCUCAACCCUGGACAGGCGGUGGAAACUACCAAGCUAGAGGGUGGGAGAGGGUGGUGGAAUUCCCGGAGUAGCGGUGAAAUGCGCAGAUACCGGGAGGAACGCCGAUGGCGAAGGCAGCCACCUGGUCCACUUCUGACGCUGAGGCGCGAAAGCGUGGGGAGCAAACCGGAUUAGAUACCCCUGUAGUCCCUGUCUCUUAUAC
RNAcentral lists this ribosomal RNA (301 nucleotides) under uncultured bacterium. Its description in RNAcentral is "partial 16S ribosomal RNA". It matches the Rfam family "Bacterial small subunit ribosomal RNA", at positions 509 to 807 of the family's 1533-position model. The record is from RNAcentral.